ACUCACCCCUAAAACGUGGCAGAGGUUCCAGGCAAAAAGGCGCUGCUCCAACGCAUCGAACAAAAGAGAGAUUAAGCUAGAAAAGGCGAUCAGAUCAUCAUCAUCAUCAUCGAACUACAUAUCUGUAAGACUAAAGAAAAAAGGGUGUUGCUACAAAGAUGUACUAGGUGAUCAUCAGUCGGCGGAGCUGGCUUUCCCGACCUCCGCCUCCAGCGUCUCCAUCUGCUGCUCCAGCCACCUGAGCCUCUGGUUCAUGCUGUCCAGCCUCUUCCGCGCCGCCUCGUCUAGCUGCGCGACGAAUUGCGACAUGGCCACCUCCUGCCCACCGUCGGUGGCGGUGAGGCCGGCCUGCGGCGGCGGAGGAGCCGCACGCGGGUCCUCGGCGUGGGGUGGCAGCUUGGCCGACGACGAUCCCCCUCUCUUCCUCCCGAGCAUGGCCAUAGCUCGUCUUAGCUAGCUUGACCGUACCGAUCGAUUGAUCGCGCGAGGGUGGGUGGCCGGCCGGCCGGCGAUAAGCUUGCCACUGGCGAAUGAAUGAGACGGAGCUUGUUGCUGGAGGCGACUGGGAGACGUGCUGAUCCCUC
This 584-nucleotide small RNA is filed under the name Oryza sativa Japonica Group (Japanese rice). Its description in RNAcentral is "sRNA Os01g0674450". Lineage: Eukaryota; Viridiplantae; Streptophyta; Magnoliopsida; Poales; Poaceae. The record is from RNAcentral.